UCACCGUCCACGCAGCACGCACGCGGCUCCCACGUUGCCGUUUUUGGGCGGCAGGGGCUGGGGAAGGGGUUGUGGGGGCGGGGCGAGACUCUGGCUGACGGAAAAAGGCAUGAGCGUUAAGGUAGGUACCGGAGGGGGGGGCCGGGAGUGGGGGUUGGGGUGGCGGAGGAUCGGGUGAUCGGAUCCCAAAGCCCGGGGCUCUAGCUUCGGCGGCGGAGGCGGCGGCGUUACAGACCGAGCGGCCCCGUUCAGCACUCGCUCCAGCCCUUCGCGGAGCGCGUCGGCGCGGAGCCGUUCCUGCGGGAGCAGUUCGAGGAGUUCGUUCGACUUUCACGAAAUAGUCUCAACUCAGUCAGGAGGAGAGACGUACUACGAGAUGCAGGAAACUCAUUUAGUGACCAGGUCUUGUGAAAUGAAUCGGUGUUCCUGUUCCUACAGUCUGAAGAACAACGACAGACGAAGUAACUUCAAUACGCUUAGGAACGUGGACUAGGUGGAAAAUGACUGCUUUAUAAAUUCCUUUAUAAAUCCGAGAAGUAGUCGCUUAAAAGUGCCGAACGUCUGUAACCUUCAGGUAUAGAAUGCUCUUCCUACUUUUAUGACCUCUUACAACGACGCGAAUCUACGAGACAUUAAUACCAACUGUGACCAACAGUCCUGAACCAAGAACUAUACCGGUUUUAUAAGAAGAGCCGUCGUUUCGUUCCAGAAGUCGUUACACACGUGGUCCGAUACGAUAGUUAUUACUGUGUCUAUAAUUUACUUUUUCAAUGAGUCGGAGAAGACCUACACUAAAAGGCGUUAAAUCAUUUUCUCCUGUUCCCUCCUCGGGUGUUCGAACGGCAACUGUAGUAAGUUUUGACACGACUCUUUAACCUCGUGUAUCAAGCUUAAAAAAACUGUAGUACGUAAAACUCGUUCCUACGUGGCCAAUUACUUGUGUCCUUCGACGUAGUAUUUUAAUAAGACCUUUAUAAGGUCACACGUGGGGUCUACGAAAAACGACAAUAAGGUACGAAUUGAGUACUCGAGGACUCACUGGUCCAACUAUAGGCUGACCUCCGUCACGUGGACUAACCCUUCGAAGAACAGAAGAGAUUAGAAGCGAAACCAGUUCUUUUGGUCUAUAAUAAAUGACUUAAGAACUUCUCUAAGAGACUGUUUAGACGUCUUCAUUCUUAACGACGUUAACUACGUCGUUUUCGUACGAUGUAACGACGUAGUAGACCUUUACAUCGUGUCUUUCAAGAGUUUAGAGAACUUCCUUCCAAUAACCUAAAACUACUGUUUCACUCCUAGUCUCGACAAAUACGUCAAACACUAAAUCGGUUUAGUUUAGAUUCGAGUAAAGGAAGACUCAACUAUAAUGUUCGUCGUCUCUCCGAUGCACUGUUUUUCUAUAGACAGUCUUUCUUACAUUACGUAUUCAACCACCUCGACAUAGCUCUAAUGACACUCUUUACGAGGUUUCCUUGGCGCCGUUAAUUAUGAGUGAUACUUGUUUAGGGUCGAUUUGAAUAACAAGAGACAAAACUGUUUCUAACACUUAGAAAGUCCGGUGUGUUAUACCCCGAAUAAAAACGACUUCUUGAGAAAGGUAGUGGUGAAAGAGGUUUUCUUUCUCGUUACGUAACCCAACUCAAAAAAAGAAUAAAGUUUAGUGUUGUACAAUUCCGAAACGUACGGUAGAAAAGAGUCUUUUCUUCCAACGUUGACCUCAACGUUCGUAUAAAUAGUGAAGCUCGUUUCUUCCUUCUUAGAAGUCUACUUUAUGUCUUCUUUUAAACACGCAGUAAUUCCUUCUACAGGCGAAGGAAAUGUCUAUAGAGAUUUCAACUUCUGACGAAACUCUAAAACGUGGUCUACUUCCUAUUAUUGUAUAAAUUCCUAAACUGACUUUAUUCGUUUCUCCCGUGAUGAAAACGUUGUCAAGCUAGUUAGUCUCUAAGUAAAGAGUUCUCUUAACCAUUGUUUGUGGUUUAAAUGUCGAAGACGUUUCUUGACAGAUGUUUUGAGAGCGUAAGUGAUAAAUUAACCCUCUACUAAACACGGUAAAACCUCCAAGAAAAGAGGACGUCUUUACUUAAUUGGGUAAUACGUCUCAGGCGUACACUAGAAAAUGACGAUCAACGUUACCACAAAGGUAGUAAUAAGUCUCCGAGUCUCCUCAUGAACGAUUUCAACAAGAGGCUUCUGAGUCAGGACUAUUUACUCUUCUCAGAGGUUUACAACCGUAUAAACCGUUUUAGUGGCACAUUUAAUAGAUAAUUAAAGUCAUCACUACAGAUGGAGAAUGACCUCGUUUUCACAUAACUUCCUUGUGCACGACUUAGCUUUAUACGGUAAAGACGUUAACGAAGUGACUAGGUCAGAGGUCUACUGUUCUUUAAACGGUUUAAUACAUUCUUUCAACAACCACCAGAUGUACUAUUGGUAUUAUAGGGUUGAGAUAAUGUCAGCAACCCGAAUUAUAACCUCAUAAGAGGAAGGUACAUAUGUAGUAUACUGCUGGUUAAAUAGUUAAAACAAGUUGCACAAAAACAGAGUGGACUCAAACAAAGUUGAGGCCUUGACAGUGGGAGGUUACUUUUAAGACGUACGUCAAAGAGAACGUUUGACUUCUAAAUAACAGAGUUUCGUGAACAGUUUUCAACAAAUGGUUGUUGAUGACGGGCACUAGCUUAUCUCUUAAAGAAAUUCUACGACAACCUAUAUUAAGCGCUUCUUAAGUGCGGGUAAUGAUAUACACUUUUACUAUUCGGUAUAGAAUCUGACCGACGACCCUUUAGACAUGAUGCUGAUCGAUGUUCUACCCUAAGUGAGUAAAGAGGUCUUAAUAAAGCGUGACGGGAAGAGUACCGUUCCCUAAGAAGUAUAUAACAAGCGUUCAGUAAGUAAGUGUUUGAAAAACCGGAAAACUUCUUCGUACGUUAUGGACAAUCUAUACGUACACGAAAACGUAACCGUAGUUGACUAACGACACCUCUACAAGCAUGACUUAGCGAAUCCAUGAAUUGACUUCACCAUUUUCUCGUUUCUCCUCAAAGACAAGUAGUCUUGUUUUGGUCGUUACUGAGCUAACAUCUUGUGGGUCGUAUACGACAGGAAAAGAACUAGGUAUGCGAACGUAUACUACUCCUCAAAGCAAAAUUGAAAACACUUUUCCUCUGACCGAGCCGACUCAAAACCUCGGGUGAAUAACACUACAACUCUCUCGAUCAACUUUAUCUCCUAGAUUCGGUUUGGUUCGUACCGAGGCGGUGUUCGAGACAUAGGUAAGAAAACCCGUAGAAAGCACGACAAGUUUUCCGACUCCUACACUAACUAAGACUGUAGUGAGUAUUUGACGUGUAAGAGAGUUUUUAACCAAACGAAUACUAUUUUCUUGAACUAUUCGUAACGUUCUGUAGUCUAAGAGGUGCGGUAUAAGAGGACGGGAGUAGAAUAAUAUCCAACAGAGCCUCACUCUCUUUUCGCCUACUUACGACGGUUGAUCUAAAUUAAUGACUAUGAAAACACUUCUCUUAAGAUUUUCGAGUACUUGGAAUAUUGGUUGUCCUCCUAUGAUGUACGAGAUGAUAAUGACUCUCCCAUAGAUUUCUUAGACGAGGAUUUUCCGUUUGAGCAAGGAGUAGUUUGUUUGGUAAUAAACCUGUCAAACAUUCACCAGUACUCGUUCCCUUUUGCUUCUUUUCAAGUCAGGUCCGCUUUCUACAGGGGUUCUUUUUAAUGGACCUAUAGAACCUUUUUCUGUUGCACAGUAGAACACCAAGGCGGCCGUGUUUCGACAGUAGAGGUCCCAGAAACCCAAACUGAUUACUUCGACUAAGAUCUCUAGACUUCUGCUAUAGAAGUUUCCUGUGGUACAGUUGUCUCCUGAAAGGACUGACAGUAGAGUCUCUAACACUUGAUCUGCUUCUACAACCACUAACACUACCAUUAAAACACUUCGCAGGAAAGAGGUCGUUGUUUUGUCACCGACGGGAGUUCUUCUUUUCGUUCUCUCGUAACCUAAACUCUUUACGUUUCUUAAGACGACCUAGUCGACGCCUGUGUUAUCUGUUACAAGCUGCCUGGUCUAGUUCCUUCCGCGUUUGUAUUAUUGGUAGAUUGACUUCAAAAUCGACUGCACAGAAUCUGUAUGUAUACGACUCAAGGCCUUAUGGAGAACAUGUAGGCGGUCACUCGUAACGUCACUAGCAUCUUUUAGAAAACCAAAUAUAUGUGGUAGGCACUUUGGAACAUUUAUCUCUUCACCUACCAUCUCACUCACAAGUAUAAUAGAUAUUACAGUGAAUAGACUAGUUCCGUUUUGACGCCUUCAACUUUACAGUCUUGACCUUAGCAGCAACCAAAUUGACUUCUGAAUCUGGUGUUGACAGCAACUGGAGAAAUUAGGUACACCGACGGCAUACGAUUCUUAAUAAUGUGGCAGCUCCACGUCUUCACGUAAGGGGCUCCCAUCCUUCAACAUACCAAGGUUUUGUGCAGACUCACCUAAGUAGAUGAAGGAGACAAGUGAAAAUAUUCUGGAACUUCUGUAAAGUCUGUUACAUGUUUUG
RNAcentral lists this ribosomal RNA (4562 nucleotides) under Triticum aestivum (bread wheat). RNAcentral's name for it is "partial small subunit ribosomal RNA". The record is from RNAcentral. Lineage: Eukaryota; Viridiplantae; Streptophyta; Magnoliopsida; Poales; Poaceae.